RNAcentral lists this long non-coding RNA (3255 nucleotides) under Papio anubis (olive baboon). RNAcentral's name for it is "lncRNA (ENSPANG00000048784.1)". The record is from RNAcentral. Lineage: Eukaryota; Metazoa; Chordata; Mammalia; Primates; Cercopithecidae.
AUGCAAUUUAGCAAGGAUUUAUUGCCUAAUUUUGGUCUGGGCACUUUGCUAACGCGAUGGGGGAGGAUAUCAAGAAGUAAGGGACACAACUUCAUUGUCCCCAGAGACUCCUGGGGGUGGACAAGGCAAGGUGUCUGUUCAUACUGCUGGGGGAGCUCUGGAUUAGGGGACAUCAGGAGACAUGACACUGAAAUGUCCUACACAGUUCUCUGUACAGAUUGGAUUUCCAUGGAAGAAAGAAAAUCAACAUGUAUUGGGAGUCAACAUCUCAUUCAGUCCUGUGAGUUUAUUCUGCCUGUUUUUCAGACAAGGAGACUAAGGUUUCAAGAGGUUUUCUAUGCAGAUGGAUUUCCAAGGAGAGAAGGAAAUCAGCAUGUAUUGAAAGUCAACAUCUCAUUCAGUUCUGUGAGUUUAUUCUGCCUAUUUUAGGCAAAGAGACUAAGGCUUCAAGAGUGCCACUGCUGGUGCAGGAAUGAACUUCCAGAAAGAGUCAAGUUCAUUGAGUCAUGCCACCACCCGGAUGCCUUGUGAGGCCACUGAGUGUUGUGGGUAAGGGUUUGGGUGCUGCUGUCCAGAUGACUGUGGGUUUAAAUCCUGGGCCCACCCACACCAGCUAUGUUACUUGCAGCAUGCUAUUGCACUUGUGUAAACUUCAGUUUGCUCAUCUGUAAAAUGGGAGCAAUAACAGUGCCCACCUCACAGGACUGAUGGGAGAAUGUAAUGAGUUAAAAUGUGUAAAGCACUGAUAAAUAUAUAUUAAAAGCUUGGCAAUGAUAAGAUGCCAUUAUCAAUAUGAUUACUGUAACGCUAAUGUCUAAAGGAGGCCCAGGCGGCAUGGAACUAUACCCUGUGGGCUUGCGAUCUCUCUUUGUUGCAUGCCAAAUGGAAAGCAUACAGUCAUGAAUCAGGGUUUGAGUGUGAGAGCAGAUAACGAGUGAGAUUUAAAUAUUCAUUAGUCAGGGUUCAUCUAGGUCCCUGGGGACAGGAGAGGAUCCUCACAAUUAAUUUCAGGGCCCUUUUCCCUGAGAUGGGUGGGGAAACUCUGCUGUGGUCAUGUACACCUUAUUAAGCACUGCUUGAAAUCCUCCCUACUACGAAAGUGCUGUGAUUUCAAGAUUUCCCUCUUUUCUGGGAAAACCAUAGCACAAGAAUCUACACUGUAAACCCUACGCCUACUUAAGCCCAGAAGGAGCCUGUUACCUCAUAGAAGAAUCUUAUUUUGCCUCGAGAAGAAGCAGUUAUCAAGUGCUCGCGGGGCUUCAGCUGUUUUCACAUCCAUUUCAUUUUGAAACACAACUGCCCUGCAGAUCUUGUGACCCUUGUCUGAUAGGCGAGGCACCCAAGAACAUGGGAACGAAUGCAUGUGCUCGUGGUUUUCAUAGAAUUUGGGGCAUUGGAAAAAUGGAAGGUGGGUGCUUCUGGGUCUCAGAAAUUUGCACGUCAGAACCCCUCCUAAGGGGUGUCAUACAUGUCUCUGAGUCUUGUAUACGGAGAUAUCCAAGCAGGAGUGGAAAAAUGUUUUUUAAAAAGUAACAAAGUCAGGCCUAGUCGAUAUGACUCAUUAUAACAUAACAUUUUCCCCUGUCUCUCAAAACAGGAGAAUUAGCUCACUAACUAUUAUAUAAGCUCUUUGAGGAAAGAGAACAAGUCUAAUUGAGCAUUACAUCCUCAAAGACUGGCAGAAAUCUCAAAACACCAGAGAUGCUCAAAACUAUGGAAAGAAAAAAAAAAUUGUCCUCAAAGAAACAAAACUUCAGCACAUAUUCUUCUUUUUAUUCAAGUAUCCACUGAUUUACUUUCAUGGGCCAGGCUCUUGGGUACAAUGUGCAUGUGGCAGUUCAGGUCCCCACCCUCCUGGGACUUGGUCUAACCAGUGCUUCUGCACAAAUGAGCUUCCAGCAGUUACAUAUUCUCUGAUAUUGCAAGAUGAACCAUAGGCCCUUAAAGAAGAAAAUAAAAAAGAAAGGAAAAGCACUUAACAAUUGCAUUCUUUGUGUUUUUGCCAGAAUGGACCAGAAACUACUAGCAAUUAUGCUGAAGCCAUUAGUGCAAAGCCAAUUUGCUUCUAGAGUUACAGUUGCACUCUAGGAACUUGAGCUACACUCCAGAGAGAUCAUUAGUUGUUGUAGACAUGUUACUGAGGGCAGUGGUGUCAUUUCCAGUCUGGAAUGCCCUCAGUCAAGUGUGGGAGCAGAAAAUGGGGGUCAACAUAAUUAACCUCAUAUGAUUUUGGCAGGACUUCUUGCAAAAUCACCCAUAUGCACUUAACAUUUCUUUCAAUUGAAUGAUCUCAGUGUAUCAGUUUUAUCAAAAUAUUUAUCUUUUUCUUUUUUAUGUUCCCACCUGGCUGACUUUUUUCCUUUUUUUUUUUUUUCUGGCUUUCAAUACAAACACCUUUAGCUUACUUUCUUUUAUUCCCUUCUCCCUUCCUAUCCCCAAUAGCAGACGGUUGUAACUAAUGGAACUCACAAGUAUUGCUGGUUGAUGCCUUUGCUAGGAUUUUCAGUACCAUAAUCCUUUCACCAGAUCAUAACUCUCAGGAGAAAACGCCUCAUGUCUCCCUUUGUAAAAACUUUCCUUGACUUUGUUUCAAUUGAAUCACCUUCACUGACCCCAGGCCUCCAUUAACUAUAUCCAUCCAAAUCAUCUGUUUCACCACUCAGUGCCCGAGGCUGAGGCAGACAUCCCGGCAGCAUCCCAUCUGACCCAGGAGAUGACAGAGUAGGGCUGACAAGGAUUCAGGAGUCAGUUCCGGGUUCCAAUACUGUUUCUACCAGUCACUGCUGGAGAUGGGCCCUUCAACGGCUCAUCGGUAGAAUGAAGAUAACAACAUUUAUCAGCUUGUAAGAAAUAAAACGGAUAAGUAUGUGAAGUUUCUAUCAGUGUGGAUUUAGAAGCCUUAAUUCCAUCCUCUUCAUUCAACAAACAUGCCCUGAAAUCCACCUAUAUGCGUUGCACACGACAUAAGUUUUACAGCUGGGUGCGUUGGCUUACCUCUGUAAUCCCAGCACUUUGGGACGCUGAGGCAGGAGGAUGGCCUGAGCCCAGGAGUUUGAGACCAGCCUGGGAAACAUGGUGAGAUCCUGUCUCUACAAAAAAUUUUAAAACUUAGCUAAGCAUGGUGGCAUGUGCCUAUAGUCUCAGCUCCUCAGGAGGCUGAGGAAUGAGGAUUGCUUGAGCCCAGGAGUUUGAGGCUGUAGUGAAUUGUGAUCAUGCUGCUACACUCCAGCCUGGGUGAUAGAGCGAGACCCUGUG